RNAcentral lists this transfer RNA (82 nucleotides) under Pelodiscus sinensis (Chinese soft-shelled turtle). It matches the Rfam family "tRNA". From Rfam's summary of the family: Transfer RNA (tRNA) molecules are approximately 80 nucleotides in length. The record is from Rfam by way of RNAcentral. Lineage: Eukaryota; Metazoa; Chordata; Testudines; Trionychidae.
GAUGAGGUGGCUGAGUGGUUAAGGUGAUGGACUACUACUCAAUUGUGCUCUGUACGCAUAGGUUCAAAUCCUGUUCUUGUUG